CCUACGGGCGUCAGCAGUGGGGAAUAUUGCACAAUGGGGGAAACCCUGAUGCAGCGACGCCGCGUGAGUGAAGAAGUAUUUCGGUACGUAAAGCUCUAUCAGCAGGGAAGAAAAUGACGGUACCUGACUAAGAAGCCCCGGCUAACUACGUGCCAGCAGCCGCGGUAAUACGUAGGGGGCAAGCGUUAUCCGGAUUUACUGGGUGUAAAGGGAGCGUAGACGGCAGCGCAAGUCUGGAGUGAAAUCCCAUGGCUUAACCAUGGAACUGCUUUGGAAACUGUGCAGCUAGAGUGCAGGAGAGGUAAGCGGAAUUCCUGGUGUAGCGGUGAAAUGCGUAGAUAUUAGGAGGAACACCAGUGGCGAAGGCGGCUUACUGGACUGUAACUGACGUUGAGGCUCGAAAGCGUGGGGAGCAAACAGGAUUAGAUACCCGGGUAGUC
RNAcentral lists this ribosomal RNA (440 nucleotides) under uncultured bacterium. RNAcentral's name for it is "partial 16S ribosomal RNA". It matches the Rfam family "Bacterial small subunit ribosomal RNA", at positions 338 to 795 of the family's 1533-position model. The record is from RNAcentral.